CACUGCACAACCUUCCAGCUGGAGUAUGGAAAAGCAAAACACUAAAAGGUCGUAAAACGAGCAGUUUUUAGUAAACAGCCGCGUUUAUUAAAAUUGAAGGUUUUCUGUUUGUUGACGUUUUUACUGAACGUGUUGUCUUUCUCAUAAGUAUCAACAGUGUACAGUUGUGACGAGUGCUCUAUGGAGUUCCCAAAGCUCCCCCCUCACUCCGGCUCUGUGUUAUCAGUAGUGGACAUGCACACAGGCGGAGAGCCGCUGCGCAUUAUCCUGAGUGGGUGUCCAGAGGUGAAUGGGGACACCAUCCUUGCCAAACGACGCUAUGUGAGAGAGCAUCUCGAUCAUCUUCGCAAGGUGUUAAUGUUUGAGCCCCGUGGUCACUAUGAUAUGUACGGAGCCCUGCUGGUCAGAAGUGAGUUAGCAGAGGCUGAUCUCGGCGUCUUGUUCAUGCACAACGAAGGGUACAGCACCAUGUGUGGCCACGCUGUCAUUGCUCUUGGGCGCUUUGCGGUGGAUUAUGGCUUGAUUAAAGCGCCCACUUCACCAGAGACGCAGAUAAACAUACACUGCCCCUGUGGCUUAGUGAAGGCCUUUACACAGUAUUCCAAUGGGACAACUGGAGCUGUCAGAUUCCACAGUGUGCCAGCCUUCGCUUUCGCUACAGAUGUGAGCGUCUCAGUACCAAGAUAUGGGCCCAUCACUGUGGACAUCAGUUAUGGUGGAGCUCUUUAUGCUUUUGUGAGUGCUGAGAAAUUUGGAUUGGAUGUCAACAAGUCCAAGACUAGAGAUUUGGUGGAUGCAGCCACUGCUGUGAGUGAUGCUGUCAAAUCCCAGGUAAAGCUAUACCAUCCAGUCAGUGAGGAUCUGGCCUUCCUCUAUGGCACAAUCCUUACUGAUGGCAAAGAUGCUUUUUCUGAAGAGCCCACAGCCAAUGUGUGUGUGUUUGCUGAUGCACAGGUGGACAGAAGCCCUACAGGGUCAGGCGUCACUGCUCGUAUAGCUCUUCAGUACCAUAAAGGCCUGAUCGAACUCAACCAGACCAGAAGCUUCAAGAGUGGAGCUACAGGAUCAGUGUUUACGGGAAAAGCAAUAGAGGAGACCACGUGUGGGGACUUCAGGGCUGUGGUAGUGGAGGUCACAGGUCAUGCUCACUACAGCGGUGUGGCCAGCUUCACCCAAGAGAGCGACGACCCUCUGAGAGAAGGCUUUCUUCUGCGCUGACUUAAAGGUUACAACUGAUAUUUCUGCUUCUGAUUGCAGGAAAUCGCAUUUACUCCUAACACCAUGUGUGAGUGUGUGGAUAAAGGAAACAGAUCUGAAUAAGUCACUGUACAGAGGUGGGUGGCCUUCACGGAUGAGAUAUUCCUUACAUACAACGUACUAAGCCAACAUCAUGAAAUCCACUGUGUGGGACUGUGGAGGUGAACAGCACGACGCUCAUCGUGGUGCCAAGAUGAAAUAAAGGUCCAAGCCAAUCAACAAUGGAGCAACAUUUAGUAGGUCUACAUCACACUUCUCUGGGAUAAACUUCAGCAUCUGGAGCAGUGAAGAAAACACCAAUUACAACAGCACUAAUAAUAGAGAAUCAUCCUUAACCAGUCUUGAAUGAGAUUAUUUUGGAAGACUAUUGCCGCUUGAUAUAUCUCAAUUACAAAUUUAUAUCUCAAAAUGUGACCGUUUUCCCUAACUGCAACUUUAUGGCUCACAAUUAUGAUUUUAUCCCUAAUGACUACGACGUUAUAACUCACAAUUGCAUAUUUUUCCAUAAUAGUGACGUUAUAUCUCUCAACUGGGACUUUAUAUCUGAAGAUGUGACUGUUUUCCAUAAUUGCAACUUUAUGGCUCACAAUUGUUAUUUUAUGUCUCAUGAUUGCAAUGUUAUAUAUAGCUCACAAUUGCGACUUUUUUCCAUAAUUUACAAAUGCAACUUGGAUCUCACAGUUGCAAAUGUUUCCAUAAUUGUGACUUUCUAUCUCACAAAUUAUGACCUUUUCCAUAAUUGACACUAUGUAUCCCAAAAAUGCAACUUUUUUUUUUUCCAUAUUUGCAAUUUCUUAUCUCACAGUUGAGACUGUAUAGCUCACAACUGCAAUUUUUUUCCCAUAAUUGCUACUUUAUAUCUAACAAUUGUGGCUUUUUUCCUUAAUUGUGUUUAUUUUCCACUGUGUCUUAGUAUCUCACAAUUGUGACUCUCACAGUUGGUAUUUUUUAUUGUACAAAUAUGACUUUAUAUCUCACAAUGUGACUUUUUCUUAUAUUAAACUUGCUCUCAUCAUUACCUGUUGUAAAAAAAUGUU
Molecule: RNA transcript, 2294 nt
Organism: Onychostoma macrolepis
Lineage: Eukaryota; Metazoa; Chordata; Actinopteri; Cypriniformes; Cyprinidae
Gene name: trans-L-3-hydroxyproline dehydratase
Exons: 8
Source: RefSeq, a predicted model, not a curated record